UACGUGGGGGGCAAGCGUUGUUCGGAAUUAUUGGGCGUAAAGGGCGCGUAGGCGGUCUGACAAGUCUGAUGUGAAAUCUAUGGGCUCAACCCAUAGUCUGCAUCGGAAACUGUCGGGCUUGAGUAUGGGAGAGGUGAGUGGAAUUUCCGGUGUAGCGGUGAAAUGCGUAGAUAUCGGGAGGAACACCAGUGGCGAAGGCGGCCUUCUGGGCCAAUACUGACGCUCAUGCACGAAAGCGUGGGGAGCGAACAGG
RNAcentral lists this ribosomal RNA (253 nucleotides) under uncultured bacterium. Its description in RNAcentral is "partial 16S ribosomal RNA". It matches the Rfam family "Bacterial small subunit ribosomal RNA", at positions 524 to 776 of the family's 1533-position model. The record is from RNAcentral.